This 75-nucleotide transfer RNA is filed under the name Candidatus Omnitrophota bacterium. RNAcentral's name for it is "tRNA-Val". It matches the Rfam family "tRNA". From Rfam's summary of the family: Transfer RNA (tRNA) molecules are approximately 80 nucleotides in length. Their secondary structure includes four short double-helical elements and three loops (D, anti-codon, and T loops). The record is from RNAcentral. Lineage: Bacteria; Pseudomonadati; Candidatus Omnitrophota.
GGACCCGUAGCUCAGUUUGGUUAGAGCGUUUCCUUGACAUGGAAAAGGUCACAAGUUCGAGUCUUGUCGGGUCCA